Long non-coding RNA from Nyctereutes procyonoides (raccoon dog), 390 nucleotides. RefSeq lists it as uncharacterized. NCBI's taxonomy places the organism in Eukaryota, Metazoa, Chordata, Mammalia, Carnivora, Canidae. The record is from RefSeq and is a predicted model, not a curated record. The transcript has 3 exons.
CAUUCACAGAGGCUCCUAGGUGUUGCGCACAACCAGCGACUGCUCCAACUCCUGCCUGCGCUGCUGGAUCUUUAGAGAAAUAAGAGCAGUAGCAGGGUUACGCUGUUGUUGUGCUCCCUGAGUCCCCUUCACCUUGAGGUCCCGGCUCUGGGAGCGGAGCAGGUCUUGGAUGUAGCCUUUGGGGUCUCUGGAGAAGCUUAGCAUGAAGUCCCUCUGGAUCUUGAGCUGGUUUAUGGACUCAAUCGUCUCAUGGAUCUACAGUUCUGGGCUCUGGCCCCACCUUACUGUCCAGAGCGCUGAUCUCCUGCUGGUUGGCUGUGGACAGGAGGAAGCUGCUCAUCUGUCCCUUCAGUGGCUCCUCCACCUCCACGUCAAUAUCAUAGCACGCCG